GAGCGGAGAUAUAUGGAGCUUGCUUUAUAUAACUUAGCAGCGAACGGGUGAGUAACACGUAGAUAAUCUAUCCUAUACUGGGGGAUAGCCCGAUGAAAGUUGGAUUAAUACCGCAUAUAGCUAUAUAGUUGCAUGAUUAUGUAGUGAAAGAUUUAUUGGUAUAGGAGGAGUCUGCGGCACAUUAGCUAGUAGGUGAGGUAAAGGCUUACCUAGGCGACGAUGUGUAGCCGGUCUGAGAGGAUGAACGGCCACAAUGGAACUGAGACACGGUCCAUACUCCUACGGGAGGCAGCAGUGGGGAAUAUUGCACAAUGGGGGAAACCCUGAUGCAGCAACGCCGCGUGAGUGAAGAAGGUUUUCGGAUUGUAAAGCUCUGUUAGCAGGGAAGAGGAAGGACGGUACCUGCAGAGGAAGCCACGGCUAACUACGUGCCAGCAGCCGCGGUAAUACGUAGGUGGCAAGCGUUGUUCGGAAUAACUGGGCGUAAAGGAUGCGUAGGCGGUUAAACAAGUUAUAUGUUAAAUAUAUAGGCUUAACCUGUAGAAAGCAUAUAAAACUGUUUAACUAGAGUGCAGGAGAGGUAAGUGGAAUUCCUAGUGUAGCGGUGAAAUGCGUAGAGAUUAGGAAGAACACCAGUGGCGAAGGCGACUUACUGGACUGUAACUGACGCUGAGGCAUGAGAGCAUGGGGAGCAAACAGGAUUAGAUACCCUGGUAGUCCAUGCUGUAAACGAUGGGUACUAGGUGUGGGUUGUGAAUAACAAUUCGUGCC
This 771-nucleotide ribosomal RNA is filed under the name uncultured bacterium. RNAcentral describes it as "bacterial SSU rRNA". It matches the Rfam family "Bacterial small subunit ribosomal RNA", at positions 64 to 847 of the family's 1533-position model. The record is from RNAcentral.